GGGGGGCAUAUGAUGAAAUUAUAUUUCAUGGGUAAUUUGCGUCUGAUUCUAUGUGAUGCUAACUUUUAUGAUUAUCUGAUGCCCAGAAAGAAAAAAAAAAAAAAAAAAAAAAAAAAAAAA
RNAcentral lists this small nucleolar RNA (120 nucleotides) under Arabidopsis thaliana (thale cress). The record is from RNAcentral. Lineage: Eukaryota; Viridiplantae; Streptophyta; Magnoliopsida; Brassicales; Brassicaceae.